RNAcentral lists this ribosomal RNA (460 nucleotides) under uncultured bacterium. RNAcentral describes it as "partial 16S ribosomal RNA". It matches the Rfam family "Bacterial small subunit ribosomal RNA", at positions 338 to 795 of the family's 1533-position model. The record is from RNAcentral.
CCUACGGGAGGCAGCAGUGAGGAAUAUUGGUCAAUGGACGAGAGUCUGAACCAGCCAAGUAGCGUGAAGGAUGACUGCCCUAUGGGUUGUAAACUUCUUUUAUAUGGGACUAAAAUGUUCAACGUGUGGGCUUUUGUAUGUACCAUAUGAAUAAGGAUCGGCUAACCCCGUGCCAGCAGCCGCGGUAAUACGGAGGUUCCGAGCGUUAUCCGGAUUUAUUGGGUUUAAAGGGAGCGUAGGUGGAUUGUUAAGUCAGUUGUGAAAGUUUGCGGCUCAAGCGUAAAAUUGCAGUUGAUACUGGCAGUCUUGAGUACGGUAGAGGUGGGCGGAAUUCGUGGUGUAGCGGUGAAAUGCUUAGAUAUCACGAAGAACUCCGAUUGCGAAGGCAGCUCACUGGACUGCAACUGACACUGAGGCUCGAAAGUGUGGGUAUCAAACAGGAUUAGAUACCCUUGUAGUC